GCGUGCUUAACACAUGCAAGUCGAACGGAAAGGCCCUGCUUUUGUGGGGUGCUCGAGUGGCGAACGGGUGAGUAACACGUGAGUAACCUGCCCUUGACUUUGGGAUAACUUCAGGAAACUGGGGCUAAUACCGGAUAGGAGCUCCUGCUGCAUGGUGGGGGUUGGAAAGUUUCGGCGGUUGGGGAUGGACUCGCGGCUUAUCAGCUUGUUGGUGGGGUAGUGGCUUACCAAGGCUUUGACGGGUAGCCGGCCUGAGAGGGUGACCGGCCACAUUGGGACUGAGAUACGGCCCAGACUCCUACGGGAGGCAGCAGUGGGGAAUAUUGCACAAUGGGCGGAAGCCUGAUGCAGCAACGCCGCGUGCGGGAUGACGGCCUUCGGGUUGUAAACCGCUUUCGCCUGUGACGAAGCGUGAGUGACGGUAAUGGGUAAAGAAGCACCGGCUAACUACGUGCCAGCAGCCGCGGUGAUACGUAGGGUGCGAGCGUUGUCCGGAUUUAUUGGGCGUAAAGGGCUCGUAGGUGGUUGAUCGCGUCGGAAGUGUAAUCUUGGGGCUUAACCCUGAGCGUGCUUUCGAUACGGGUUGACUUGAGGAAGGUAGGGGAGAAUGGAAUUCCUGGUGGAGCGGUGGAAUGCGCAGAUAUCAGGAGGAACACCAGUGGCGAAGGCGGUUCUCUGGGCCUCUCCUGACGCUGAGGAGCGAAAGCGUGGGGAGCGAACAGGCUUAGAUACCCUGGUAGUCCACGCUGUAAACGGUGGGUACUAGGUGUGGGGUCCAUUCCACGGGUUCCGUGCCGUAGCUAACGCUUUAAGUACCCCGCCUGGGGAGUACGGCCGCAAGGCUAAAACUCAAAGGAAUUGACGGGGCCCCGCACAAGCGGCGGAGCAUGCGGAUUAAUUCGAUGCAACGCGUAGAACCUUACCUGGGUUUGACAUGGAUCGGGAGUGCUCAGAGAUGGGUGUGCCUCUUUUGGGGUCGGUUCACAGGUGGUGCAUGGCUGUCGUCAGCUCGUGUCGUGAGAUGUUGGGUUAAGUCCCGCAACGAGCGCAACCCUUGUUCACUGUUGCCAGCACGUUAUGGUGGGGACUCAGUGGAGACCGCCGGGGUCAACUCGGAGGAAGGUGGGGAUGACGUCAAGUCAUCAUACCCCUUAUGUCCAGGGCUUCACGCAUGCUACAAUGGCUGGUACAGAGAGUGGCGAGCCUGUGAGGGUGAGCGAAUCUCGGAAAGCCGGUCUCAGUUCGGAUUGGGGUCUGCAACUCGACCUCAUGAAGUCGGAGUCGCUAGUAAUCGCAGAUCAGCAACGCUGCGGUGAAUACGUUCCCGGGGCUUGUACACACCGCCCGUCAAGUCAUGAAAGUUGGUAACACCCGAAGCCGGUGGCCUAACCGUUGUGGGGGAGCCGUCGAAGGUGGGACUGGUGAUU
RNAcentral lists this ribosomal RNA (1427 nucleotides) under uncultured organism. RNAcentral describes it as "16S ribosomal RNA". It matches the Rfam family "Bacterial small subunit ribosomal RNA". The record is from RNAcentral.